GACGAACGCUGGCGGCGUGCUUAACACAUGCAAGUCGAACGAUGAAGAAGAGACACGCGCACUUCGGUUCCAAUUUCACUUCGGAUUAGUGGCAGACGGGUGAGUAACGCGUGAGCAACCUACCUCUUACAAAGGGAUAGCCUCGGGAAACCGUGAUUAAUACCAUAUGACACAUUCAUAAGGCAUCUUAAGAAUGUUAAAGCUACGGCGGUAAGAGAUGGGCUCGCGUCCCAUUAGCUAGUUGGUGAGGUAACGGCCCACCAAGGCGACGAUGGGUAACCGGCCUGAGAGGGUGAACGGUCACAUUGGAACUGAGACACGGUCCAAACUCCUACGGGAGGCAGCAGUGGGGAAUAUUGCACAAUGGAGGGAACUCUGAUGCAGCGACGCCGCGUGAGCGAUGAAGGAAUUCGUUUCGUAAAGCUCUGUUCUAUGGGAAGAAAAGGACUGUACCAUAGGAGAAAGCCCCGGCUAAAUACGUG
This 482-nucleotide ribosomal RNA is filed under the name uncultured bacterium. RNAcentral's name for it is "partial 16S ribosomal RNA". It matches the Rfam family "Bacterial small subunit ribosomal RNA", at positions 28 to 507 of the family's 1533-position model. The record is from RNAcentral.